CUACAGGAUACCCUCGCUUUGUCUAACAAAUCAGGGCUGUUUAGGCACUCAUGAGAUCUAACAGAGGCAGCCAUGAUCGGAAAGAAAGGAGAUUAGUAUGUGAAUACAAAUUAAGUUGAACAGUCACAAGCUUAGAAAAACAACCAAAAAAACACAUAUGGUUUGCUAAACCUUGUAUGUUUUUUUUGUGACUGUUCAACUUACAGCAUUCUGUUUCCAUGACAUCUGACACCAAUAGCUGUUCUGAAAUGCCACUAAUAACACAUUCAAAAUACAGCUCUAUGCUACUGUUUUACAGUGGUGGUUCCAUUUUCCAAGUGGCUAAUAUUCAUUUUUUACCAUCUCUGGUGUGGGGGUGUCAUCACUGGACAAUGGAGAAUCAGUCAUGCAAGACCCAGUGAGCAUUCGUUUUGCAGCUUUUGCCGCUUUUCUCCUGAUCUCAAUUUGCAUUUCAGGCGACCUUCCACCAGUGGCCCGACUGCCUUACGCUGGCGGCUAGCUGCCGAAAAGAGGGCGUGCGCUUUAGUCUGCUGUAUCUGCUUGUGUUGCCAUUUUUUUCUAGCAGAGAUGCUAUUGUACCCCUUUUAUUCUUGUACCGAUUAUUUGAUUUAUUUUAAUAUUGUAAAAUCUUAGUGUACAGAAUUUUGGUCAACAUUGGUAGUUUAUAAAUAAAAUAGACUUUGACUAUUGCACUAUUGCUUGUGUAAAGGACCUUUGUGUAGACAUGUACAGUAAACACAUCUCGCCAUUGGUUACCAUAACAUGUUCCCAAACUAAUGGCCAUUUUCCAGUGCAUGGUACCGGCUCAUCUCGUCUAUAGCCUCAACUUUAAUGCUUCAUGGGGGACAGUUCUUUACUGUGUUUAAACACUGCCGUGUCCGUAAAUGGCGCUAUAGCGAAUUGCACAUGUGUAAGGCAAGACCAUAUGUCUAUGGGCAAGACAAUCCCCAUUUGGAUCCCACACUGUUGUACCGUGAAAACUAGAAGGAACAUUCAUUUUAGCGACUUGGUUCUCUCGUCAACUCUUGUUCAAAAUGUAUAAGGUAUAAGCUAUGUGCUCUGAAUUGGACAAUACAACAUGUGGAUUAUCACAUUGUUUUACUACAAUUUGAUGAACUCCCGAAACAAAUGAAGAUCAAGGAUUUUUUUGACAUCAUACCGAAAGUUAUUGAACGCCGAGUCACCUGCGUCUAUGUUCGGAUGUUUUGUGCUUCUUCGCAUAUCAACAGUUGAACAGGUGAUGACUUUCUGUAGUUUUGUUCCCCGAGGAGGAUGACUGUGUGCCAGCAGUUCCACGCCAGGAUGGAGCAAGCACAGUACUCAAAGGCACCAGAGAGGUACUCCAUGCCACCAUGUAGUGGAUGGCUACAUAGGGCAAGAAGGCAGAGCUCCGCACAUGAAAGUAAGAAUGAACAUUUUGGUGGACAAUGCGAUUUGAGUUCUGAUUGUAAAAUAACCAGAUAUUUAGGACUGAAUAAUUAACUGUUUUCAUGAAACUUUUCAUUUGUCUUUCCAACCGGGAUGCCACUGAUGAGGCUGUCCAGAACCAGGUCCCCAGGUACCAGAAAGGGGCAGAUGACCGUGCAGGUGGGAGAUGUCGCGGCGGUACAAGGGACCUGACGUGAAUAUGAAUCUCCAGCACAACCAAUAUUGCUGCUAAGCUGCAGUACUGUAUUUUUUAUUUUAUUUAACUGCUGCUAUGUGCAGUGUUAUAUAUAUAUAUGAUUGCAUUAUCCUCUUAAUAUAUUUAUAGCUCUGUGUGAAUGUUCUUAAUUCUGACUAUCGUUGUAGUGUUAUGCCACCAUUCAUAAACUUAUUGCACUGAUGUAUCUAUUAUAUUCAAUAACUAUUGAUUGCUGCUAGGUCAUACUUAUGUAUAUUAUUGCCAUUCUAGCCCUUGUUUAUUUUGUAUUGUAUUAUGUUUAUUUUGUACUUUCACAUUCAAAUACUGUAAUUUUACUAUAUCUGACACGUUUUCUUGCACUAAUUGGUUUUGUAUAUUUUUUAUUUCAAUUCAUUUGCACAUGUUUAUUUUGUAUGCUUG
Long non-coding RNA from Esox lucius (northern pike), 2044 nucleotides. The record is from Ensembl. Lineage: Eukaryota; Metazoa; Chordata; Actinopteri; Esociformes; Esocidae.